ACUACUGAAGCGACUUAGCACGCACCCGCGCACGCAUGCCCAUAUAGUCAGAGUUAAGAAUUUCCCUGCAAUCACUGCAUUAGCUGCUUCCCAGAAAUUGUGAUUUGAUGUUGUUUUCAUUAUCACUCAGUUCGAUAUUUUCCAGUCUCCCUUAUGAGUUCUUCUUUGAUCCGUGGGUUACUUAGGGAUAUGCUAUCUGAAUAUUUGGGAUUUCCUACAUAUUUUAUUGUUAUUGGUUUGUUAAUUGUGAUCAGAGAACAUACUCAAGAUUUCAGUAUUCUAAUGAAACUUAUUUCCUGGCCCAGAUUAUAGUCUCUUUCUGAUAGACGUGAAAAUUUUUAAAUCUUGCUGUUGUUCAGUGUAGUGUUCUAUAAAUGUGGACUAGGUCAGGUUGGCCCACAACUUUGGUAGGAUUUUUCUAUAUCCUUGCCAAUUUUUAAAAAAUUAGUUUUUUUUUUUAAUCAAUCACUCAGAAAGGGCUGUUAAUAUCUCCUACAAUGAUUUGGGCUUUAUCUGCUUCUGUCUUUACUUUUGUUCAUUUUUGCUUCCUGAUUUUUUUUUCCUUCAAGAACCUUGCUGCUGUUUUAUGGAAAGUGAAAGUGAAAGUCACUCAGUUGUGUCUGAUUCUUUGCGACCCCAUGGACUAUACAGUCCAUGGAAUUCUUCAGGCCAGAAUUCUGGAGUGGGUAGCCUAUCCCUUCUCCAGUGGAUCUUCCCAACCCGGGGAUCGAACCUAGGUCUCCGGCAUUGCAGGAGGAUUCUUCACCGGCUGAGUUACCAGGGAAGACCUCGGAUACCUUCGAAAGGAACUGCAUUCCCUCUUUGCCUUGACUGCCAGGAUGCUCGGGACCAAAGUACAAUCCACCACUAG
RNAcentral lists this long non-coding RNA (871 nucleotides) under Bos indicus x Bos taurus (hybrid cattle). RNAcentral's name for it is "lncRNA (ENSBIXG00000013765.1)". The record is from RNAcentral. Lineage: Eukaryota; Metazoa; Chordata; Mammalia; Artiodactyla; Bovidae.